UUGAUUUUAGUUGCAUUUGGUCAUUAGGACGUUCACAAAGUACGUAAAUCAUAGGAUCCUUCCGUAGGUGAACCUGCGGAAGGAUCAUUAUUGAUUUUAGUUAUUUGUGAACGUACUACGAACAAACAAAAAAAUAUUAUAGUCAAAAAAAAUUAAAUCA
RNAcentral lists this unclassified non-coding RNA (160 nucleotides) under soil metagenome. RNAcentral describes it as "partial internal transcribed spacer 1". The record is from RNAcentral.